GGACCAACAUGAAUGUGCAACGAAGAGAAUAAUAAUGAUAGCAGAAGUAACAGAAAAAUUGCAGAACUGAUCUAGUAAAUGAGUAAAAUACUGAUGCUCCUGAAGAUGAUCUUCAUUAUAAUCGUCGGCAGUGAUGAUGAUAACUAAAGAGAGAAAUUGUGACAUUGUAUCCAGGGAGAUUUCUUGGUGUUAAAAGUGCUUAAGGCAGAUAAAAGUAAAACGAAGCGUUUUGUAUAUAUUUCAAAACGCAACGUUUCAUUAAACCACUGUUGAAAGUCGAAGAAGGAGGCCAUCAGUUCACUACUGGAGAUAUUUUCAUCUCUCUUUAUAGCUUUCAGCUUCUCUCACUAAAAAAGGGAUCUAGGGUUGUGAUUCAUCGCUCCAAUCCGGCGUGAUUUCAACAGCGGCGAUGUUACAAUGGAGGUUGUUAUCAACGAAGGCAUCUACGAAUAAAUUUUCUAGAUUAGUUAAGAUGAGUGAAAUAAAAUGAAGUCAAGACGAGUUAAAAAAUUGAAGAGUUUUGAUGUCUAGAUUUUAUUGUUUAUGAAUAUUGUAAUUGUGGAGUAUUAUUUAUAGGAUAGUUGAUUAUAUUUGAUUACUUUUGGGUCUAUUUUGGGAGGAAUAAGAAUAUGUUAUGAUGUAGAAUUAUUUUUAUUUAGAAUAAAGUCAUGGAAUAAAUUAACUUUGCAA
This is a long non-coding RNA of Mangifera indica (mango), 690 nucleotides long. RefSeq lists it as uncharacterized. The transcript has 2 exons. Lineage: Eukaryota; Viridiplantae; Streptophyta; Magnoliopsida; Sapindales; Anacardiaceae. The record is from RefSeq and is a predicted model, not a curated record.